UGGAAGGGCCAUCGCUCAACGGAUAAAAGGUACUCCGGGGAUAACAGGCUGAUACCGCCCAAGAGUUCAUAUCGACGGCGGUGUUUGGCACCUCGAUGUCGGCUCAUCACAUCCUGGGGGCUGAAGUAGGUCCCAAGGUAUGGCUGUUCGCCAUUUAAAGUGGUACGCGAGCUGGGUUUAGAACGUCGUGAGACAGUUCGGUCCCUAUCUGCCGUGGGCGCUGGAGAAUUGAGGGGGGCUGCUCCCAGUACGAGAGGACCGGA
Molecule: ribosomal RNA, 263 nt
Filed under: Cronobacter sakazakii
Lineage: Bacteria; Pseudomonadati; Pseudomonadota; Gammaproteobacteria; Enterobacterales; Enterobacteriaceae
Description: partial 23S ribosomal RNA
Rfam family: Bacterial large subunit ribosomal RNA
Source: RNAcentral